RNAcentral lists this ribosomal RNA (446 nucleotides) under uncultured bacterium. RNAcentral describes it as "bacterial SSU rRNA". It matches the Rfam family "Bacterial small subunit ribosomal RNA", at positions 329 to 792 of the family's 1533-position model. The record is from RNAcentral.
UUCCAGACUCCUACGGGAGGCAGCAGUGGGGGAUAUUGCACAAUGGGGGAAACCCUGAUGCAGCGACGCCGCGUGAGUGGAGAAGUACUUCGUUACGUAAAGCUCUAUCAGCAGGGAAGAAAAUGACGGUACCUGACUAAGAAGCCCCGGCUAACUACGUGCCAGCAGCCGCGGUAAUACGUAGGGGGCAAGCGUUAUCCGGAUUUACUGGGUGUAAAGGGAGCGUAGACGGCAUGGCAAGUCAGAUGUGAAAGCCCGGGGCUCAACCCCGGGACUGCAUUUGAAACUGUCAGGCUGGAGUGCAGGAGAGGUAAGUGGAAUUCCUAGUGUAGCGGUGAAAUGCGUAGAUAUUAGGAGGAACACCAGUGGCGAAGGCGGCUUACUGGACUGUAACUGACGUUGAGGCUCGAAAGCGUGGGGAGCAAACAGGUUUAGAUACCCGAGUA